UACGUAGGGUCCGAGCGUUGUCCGGAGUUACUGGGCGUAAAGCGCGCGCAGGCGGCGGUGUUGGCCCGGCGUGAAAGCCCCCGGCUCAACCGGGGAGGGUCGUCGGGGACCGCACCGCUUGAGGGCGGUAGGGGCUGGUGGGAUGCCUGGUGUAGUGGUGAAAUGCGUAGAGAUCAGGCGGAACACCCGUGGCGAAGGCGGCCAGCUGGGCCGUCCCUGACGCUGAGGCGCGAAGGCGUGGGGAGCGAAUGGG
Molecule: ribosomal RNA, 253 nt
Filed under: uncultured bacterium
Lineage: Bacteria
Description: partial 16S ribosomal RNA
Rfam family: Bacterial small subunit ribosomal RNA
Source: RNAcentral